CAUUUUAACUAAUUCUAACGGAAGUUAUGAAUUUACCUUGGCAUAGUUGAAUAACAAGAGUUCAGUACAUGGAAAUGACAUACAGUGAGUCUCAAACACCAUGGUUUCCUCCUUCUUAUGUAAAUCUCAUUUGUUUAAAAGACCUCUGAAGAACAGGCGAAUCUCAACAUAACACCGACUGUGACACAACAGUCGGGAUCAUUAAUAUUGUGGCGAUGACACUGUUAUAAAUGUGUUUUACUUAAUUCACCUGCUGUUGGGAGGAGGUGUUCAGGAGGAAAAAGAGUUAGGAGGGAGGGGCUAACACAGCGCGCGGGGAGUAAAGAAGAAUUGAGUUGAACGUUAGUCAAGCGGAAGAAACGUUAGUCGAAGUCUUUCUGCGUUUUAUUAUUUUUGGGGAAGUAAGUCACCUCCUGAUACCCGCGUUUUAGUUUGUAAACGUUCAGUAAAUAAACCACAGCCCGUUGGGUGCUUUCAAACUGGAUUCUCGUCUCCUGUCUGUUUCUCCUGGGACAGUGCAAAACGCCACAAUAUGUAGGCUACGCCCCCAACUUUUGCAUAUGCCAGCCCAUGUUCAAGGCAUUAGACAAGCCAGUAUUAACGUCUGGAUCUGUGCACAGCUGAAUCAUCAGACUUUAUGCAGGGAACGUUCUGUUACUGGACUUAUGGAAACAUAAGGCAGCUUGUAAAAAACUGCACAAUACCAGAGAAAGGAAAGUUGAGGUGGUGUCUGAUAAAAAAAAAAUGUGGCUAAGAACAGGUAAUUCAAUAGUUUUUACAUUAUUUAAAUUAAUCUACAGUAUUUCAGUGAGGAUUGUUAAAAUCAUAUCUAGUUAUCAAGAAAAUUGCUUAAAAAAACAAAAAAACAAAAAAAACUAUACUUUACACCAACAACAUAUUUUCCAGACUCAUACACCAAAGGUGUCCAGAAAUGCCGGCGUGUUGUUGUGGAGACCUCAAAUAUUGAAACAGAGGAAAGCUCCACAAUGAAAAAAAGAGGGCACACAAAAAGCCACCAAGAUUUCUGUCUGAAACAGAUUCCUCUUCAAAUGAUGAUAGCAGAGUUUUCCCAACUGAGAAUACAAAAGUUUCAAAACCUCUUCCACCCAAAUAUAAGCCAUUCUCCAAUUUUCACCCUCUGGACAAUGCAGAAGCAUCACCGCCAGCAUCCUGGCCAUCAUGUAUGGCACAACCCCUUCAAGCUGCCUCACAGCUCCUCUUAGAAGAGCCCCAGUGUUCUUCAGAAGCAGCAACAAAGAACUAUCGCACAAAAGUCUUGCAAAAACUGCAAGACAUUGCAGAAACCCAGCAAGACAUCUUAGCGAUGCAAAGAAGCAUACUGGCUGCUGUUGCUGGGACAGUGACAGUGACUGAGGAAGGGGGGGACAUCCUGGAAAAUGGAUCAUGCCAGACUGUGGAUGAGCUGAAUACACUAAAAGGACCAAGGUGGUAAUACAUAAGACACUUAAAAGUGACAACUUAAUGCAGUAAUUAAUUAGAUGUAAAAUAGGCCUAAUAUAAAAUAACAUUUGUUCAAGUUCACAUAAGCUACUUCAUCUAUUGUUGAGCUGUCGAGUUGUCAUGAAUGGGUGUCCCUUUAUUUUUAUUUUUUUUUUAAUAUACACAUAUGCAGACCUGUUUGUACCUACUUAAUUUUCAUAUUUGGAGAGUUUUUGUGACUUUUGAGGGCGAUCCUAGAGAUUUUCCGAGGGGGGUUUGGCAACACUGGUCACAGGAACACGGGCAAACAGGGAAAACGAAGAAACUGGGCAGAAAGUCAAAACCAUGAACAUGAGAAACAAAAGACAGCGCGCUCAGAAAUGCAGUGAUGAUGAGACCGGGCAAUGAGUUAUGGGGGAUAUAGUCUUUGAUGGAAUGGCAAAAGUCUGUGAUGGAGUGCCCCCUGGUGGCUCUCAAGGGCACUCCAGCUGGUGAUGGUGACAAUUUAUUACUAAAUGGCAAGAAAAAAAAUAAUGUGAUACUUUAUUGUGUACCUUGAAACACCUUAUCGCAAUGAAGCAGUAUUUAUUUAAUUUUUCAGAAACAGAAAGAGCUUUAUUGUCAAAUAUGUUUGCACACAAGGAAUUUUCAGCUUCCAGUACACAGAGACAACAACAGUACACAGAUAGUAACAUACAAAAAAAUAAAAUAAAUAUAUAUAUGUGAAUAAAAUACACACUAUAAACAAAUUUGUAUUUAGUAGAAUUAACAAGGAAAGGAAUGGAAUAAGAAGAGGGAGGGUAUUGUAUCAGUAACUGAUAUUGCAUAUAGUUGUCGCUGCACAGUAGGGAGAACAUUUAACUGUUCAUGAUUGCCUGGGGGAAUAAACUUUUCUUGUGCCUGGCUGUUCUGGUGCUCGGUGUAUAGCGCUGGCCAGACUGCAAAAGUUCAAAGAGAAGGUGGCUUGGAUGUGACAGAUCCAGAGUGAUUUUUUUAGCCCUUUUUCUCACUCUGGAUGUAUACAGUUUGUGGAGGGUAUACAGUUCUUUAGUGUUAUAGAAUAAUACUUUGCUUCCUGAGAAGUUGACACAAUGCUUGAGGCCAAUAAGUUUAUUUAAAAAGCACCAUCAGAUUUUCAUGAUCAGUCCAUAACAGCAUGGGCGUGACUUGAGCUAAUAGUGCCUAAUGUUUUGUUUUUGUUUGUUUUCACUAGGAUCAUAUUUUGUCAUUUUUGAAAGUGUGGUGGCAAGUGGAUUGAUUUAAUAUGCAAUGGCUGUAAUUUAACAUAUACAAUCUAGACUGCAAAUAUUACCUGGUGAGCUUGUAUUUUAAAGUAGAACUUAAUUAUGAACUUUUUGAGCACUCAUGUCAUUUCCCCACUUUCAUCCUUGUCACAGCAAUAAUGACAAGGUAAAAAUAAUAAUAAUAAUAAUAAUAAUAAUAAUAAUAAUAGAGGCAAAAAGUUAAUUUUAUAAUUCUGCCCUACAAAAGGCAGUAACUUCAUUUUUGGUCAAAAAUGAGUUAUCGAUAUUUUGGGACAUUCAAGACCUCCAUUAUCAUGUGGAUAAGUAUAUUGAGUCAAUUCCAUAGUUUUUUGUUUGUUUGUUUUUUUCGAGAAAAAAUGGGUUGAACACCAUAACACCAGUUACCGCUCUUUGACUGUUUUAGAACGCUCAAAUUGAGUAGGCCUAAGGGUGCUCUGCUAUUGUUUAGCCGUUGUUUAGAAGUUAUUGUACCGCCUAGAGUUAUGGUAUUCUGCCUUUGUUUUACUGUCAAUUAAAGUUUGCGGCAUUUAAAUUAUGGUGUAGCCUGUGUCAUACAUCUGUCACUGAAGCACUUCUGACACACAAUACCUGAAUAAAAGUGUAGGUACAACAAAUAAUUGAGUGGUUGUUUUUACUAAUAGCGUUUAAGGUUGGCCCAUUGCUCUCGAAGGAUAAUGAUAGGUGACCAUGCGUCCUCUUUUUCCUGGACAUGUCCUCUUUUUGGACCUAAAAAAAUGCGUCCGGCCAGGAUUUCUAAAUCGCCCAAAAUGUCCGGGAUUCGGCUUUUGCUUUCUACAGUCGCUAUCCCUCCUCACGCGCAAAUUUGGAAUAUCGCAUAAACAUGUAAGCAAUAACCCCGCUAGAAAUUUUACGUCCCCACUGGUGUUAAGGAUGUUGUCUAGUAAUGUUCCCAGUAUGUUCAGAGACGGUCACGAUGUGGAGUUCUUUUAAGGGUUGGGGGAUGUUAUUUGGCAGACCUUCAGGGAACAUUCAGAAUGUUCUCUGAACGUUUAGGGAACCAUAAUUUGUGAUGUUCUCAGAACAUCCCUGCUGCUCUUGUCAAAAAAUUGAACUGAAAAAUAGAGCUAAAUUGACUAACAAAAGUGGCUGUUCAAACAAAAACUAAUUUUUCUUAAAUGUCUUACCAAAAAAAAGCACUUUACAGGUAAUUUUUCAAUUGCUAUUAUGAAACUUUUUCUUUAAAAUGCAAAUCUCUUGCAGUAAGUCUUUAACUGACAACAGCACAUGCAUGAGCUAGUGUCAUUACUGUAUCACUGCAUCAGCAACUACACAGUUACUGCCUUUAAAUAAAGCAACAUGCAGCAUAACAUCAAUGUUUCUGGAUCAUCACUGACUGAAGCACAGGCUCUACUCUUCAGCACAAUGGUAACCUCACAAAACUCAGAUAACAGAAACAGAACAUUAAACACUAACAGAUCUCUCUAGAUCUCAGCAUCUUCACUUAUUACAAACCACUCCGACUUUAUUUCUUUCAUUCAAAACUUCUUAAUGAGAUGUUGAUAUUUAUUGAAAAUAAUAAAGUUUGAAGUCACCGUUAUGGAGGUA
Ctenopharyngodon idella (grass carp) is the source of this 4271-nucleotide long non-coding RNA. RefSeq lists it as uncharacterized. The transcript has 7 exons. The record is from RefSeq and is a predicted model, not a curated record. Lineage: Eukaryota; Metazoa; Chordata; Actinopteri; Cypriniformes; Xenocyprididae.